This 751-nucleotide long non-coding RNA is filed under the name Glycine max (soybean). Its description in RNAcentral is "long non-coding RNA (GMAX_LNC003740)". Lineage: Eukaryota; Viridiplantae; Streptophyta; Magnoliopsida; Fabales; Fabaceae. The record is from RNAcentral.
CAUGGGGCGCUAUACUAAAAUCACUAUCUAGUAGUGGUAUGGGGGAGGUGGUGAUGCAUAGACAUAGUGUGGAGGAGGUGGAGAUGGAUACUUGUAUGGUUUCUUAGGUGGUGGUGGAGGUGACUUGUAGUAGUAAGCUGGGGGUGGUGGAGAAGGGUACUUGUAUGGUGGAGGUGGAGGAGAAGAGUACUUGUAUGGAGGAGGAGGGGACUUGUACUUGUAUACUGGGGGUGGAGGAGAUGGGUAUUUGUAGGGUUUCUUAGGAGGUGGUGGAGGAGAAGGGUACUUGUAGGGUGGGGGUGGUGACUUGUAUUUGUAAACUGGUGGUGGUGGUGAUGGGUAUUUGUAGGGCUUCUUAGGUGGUGGUGGUGGGGACUUGUACUUGUAAACUGGUGGUGGUGGUGACUUGUAUUUGUAAACUGGAGGUGGGGGUGAUGGGUAUUUGUAGGGCUUUUUAGGUGGUGGUGGAGGAGAAGGGUACUUGUAGGGUGGUGGUGGUGACUUGUAUUUGUAAACUGGUGGUGGUGGUGAUGGGUAUUUGUAAGGCUUCUUAGGAGGUGGUGGAGGAGAUGAAUACUUGUAGGGUGGUGGUGGGGACUUGUACUUGUAAACUGGUGGUGGUGGAGAUGAAUAGUCGUACUUGUCAGCUGAGGCUUGAGAUGACAAGCUUAGAGAAACUAUUGCCAAUACAAGAGUGAGAGUAAGAGAGGCCAUUAGAGACCCCAUUUUCUCCCAACUUCAAAUAGGGUUU